This is a ribosomal RNA of Mustela putorius furo (domestic ferret), 110 nucleotides long. NCBI's taxonomy places the organism in Eukaryota, Metazoa, Chordata, Mammalia, Carnivora, Mustelidae. The record is from Ensembl.
GUCUAUGGCCAUACAACCAUGAAUGCAUCUAAUUUCUUCUGAUCUUGGAAGCUAAGCAGGGUUGGGCCUGAUUAGUACUUGGAUGGGAGAUUUAUUUAGUACUAAAAAAA